GACAGAGGGGGCAAGCGUUAUUCGGAAUCACUGGGCGUAAAGGGCGCGUAGGCGGCUUCAUAAGUCAGGGGUGAAAUCCGGCAGCUUAACUGUCGCAGUGCCUUUGAUACUGUGGAGCUCGAGGGAGGUAGGGGUCUGUGGAACUUCCGGUGGAGCGGUGAAAUGCGUUGAUAUCGGAAGGAACGCCGGUGGCGAAAGCGACGGACUGGAUCUCUUCUGACGCUGAGGCGCGAAAGCCAGGGGAGCAAACGGG
RNAcentral lists this ribosomal RNA (253 nucleotides) under uncultured bacterium. Its description in RNAcentral is "partial 16S ribosomal RNA". It matches the Rfam family "Bacterial small subunit ribosomal RNA", at positions 524 to 776 of the family's 1533-position model. The record is from RNAcentral.